CCGACCUUGAAAUACCACCCUUUAAUGUUUGAUGUUCUAACGUGGACCCGUAAUCCGGGUUGCGGACAGUGUCUGGUGGGUAGUUUGACUGGGGCGGUCUCCUCCUAAAGAGUAACGGAGGAGCACGAAGGUUGGCUAAUCCUGGUCGGACAUCAGGAGGUUAGUGCAAUGGCAUAAGCCAGCUUGACUGCGAGCGUGACGGCGCGAGCAGGUGCGAAAGCAGGUCAUAGUGAUCCGGUGGUUCUGAAUGGAAGGGCCAUCGCUCAACGGAUAAAAGGUACUCCGGGGAUAACAGGCUGAUACCGCCCAAGAGUUCAUAUCGACGGCGGUGUUUGGCACCUCGAUGUCGGCUCAUCACAUCCUGGGGCUGAAGUAGGUCCCAAGGGUAUGGCUGUUCGCCAUUUAAAGUGGUACGCGAGCUGGGUUUAGAACGUCGUGAGACAGUUCGGUCCCUAUCUGCCGUGGGCGCUGGAGAACUGAGGGGGGCUGCUCCUAGUACGAGAGGACCGGAGUGGACGCAUCACUGGUGUUCGGGUUGUCAUGCCAAUGGCACUGCCCGGUAGCUAAAUGCGGAAGAGAUAAGUGCUGAAAGCAUCUAAGCACGAAACUUGCCCCGAGAUGAGUUCUCCCUGAGACUUUAGGUCUCCUGAAGGAACGUUGAAGACGACGACGUUGAUAGGCCGGGUGUGUAAGCGCAGCGAUGCGUUGAGCUAACCGGUACUAAUGAACCGUGAGGCUUAACCUU
This 745-nucleotide ribosomal RNA is filed under the name Salmonella enterica. RNAcentral describes it as "partial 23S ribosomal RNA". It matches the Rfam family "Bacterial large subunit ribosomal RNA", at positions 2186 to 2925 of the family's 2925-position model. The record is from RNAcentral. Lineage: Bacteria; Pseudomonadati; Pseudomonadota; Gammaproteobacteria; Enterobacterales; Enterobacteriaceae.